AUUGAACGCUGGCGGAAUGCUUUACACAUGCAAGUCGAACGGCAGCACGGACUUCGGUCUGGUGGCGAGUGGCGAACGGGUGAGUAAUGUAUCGGAACGUGCCCAGUCGUGGGGGAUAACGUAGUGAAAAUUACGCUAAUAGCGCAUACGAUCUAUGGAUGAAAGCGGGGGAUCGCAAGACCUCGCGCGAUUGGAGCGGCCGAUAUCAGAUUAGGUAGUUGGUGGGGUAAAGGCCCACCAAGCCAACGAUCCGUAGCUGGUCUGAGAGGACGACCAGACACACUGGAACUGAGACACGGUCCAGACUCCUACGGGAGGCAGCAGUGGGGAAUUUUGGACAAUGGGCGAAGCCUGAUCCAGCCAUUCCGCGUGCAGGAUGAAGGCCCUCGGGUUGUAAACUGCUUUUGUACAGAACGAAAAGGUUUCUACUAAUACUAGGAGCUCAUGACGGUACUGUAAGAAUAAGCACCGGCUAACUACGUGCCAGCCGCCGCAGUAA
This 499-nucleotide ribosomal RNA is filed under the name uncultured bacterium. RNAcentral's name for it is "partial 16S ribosomal RNA". It matches the Rfam family "Bacterial small subunit ribosomal RNA", at positions 30 to 523 of the family's 1533-position model. The record is from RNAcentral.